GAGAGCGGGGGAAGACAUGCAGCUAAUGGUUGACUGGCCGGGAGUCGAGCCGGCGACCUCUGCGACGAGGACUAUAGCCUCGAUACGUGUGGACGUUUAGACCGCUCGGACACCAGCGCCCCAAUUGCAGUCAGUCACAGCUUCAUCAAGCUCUGCAGCUGCCGUCUGAGGUGUUACACAAGGGACAAACACUGCCUCCAACAAACAACCUAUAUCCAAUCACCAUGGAAACAUUGACCCCGACCCAGCCUCCUCACCCAAAGGCAUGGGGACACAAGCGUAUGAUAAGCAGCUUUCCAACCUCGACUCGGGUCUGGACUUUGCGUGACUCCCAGCCCAUCCAGUUAUGACGCCAGUUGCCAGAGGCCAAUGUGAAUCUCAUAUACAGCCGCCGCUAUCAGUCGCUCCUUAGGGGCGGCUGGUACUCAGUGAGGGCAGAGAUAGUCGACACUGUGAGCUCAUUGUGCCGCCGCUCCCUGCUACAUAGUGUGACAGAAUAAUCACACCAAUAACACUCUCCCUGGCUCGAUGUCUGCACAGGAGCUCCGAGGAAGGAAAUUAAAGAAACAACGAGGAACGAGGGCUCCACUCAGGAUCCUGCAUCGUAUUUUAUUUUCAGCCCCUCCUGCGCCGCAAACAGAGGACGUCCAAGGCAAUAAGGCUCACAGCCUGUGGAGGGAAUUGUUUUGCCAAAAAUAUUUGUUGUUUUCAAUAAUGUGGUUGUUUGUACUGCACAGAGGAGGGGAGAGAAAAGAAGAGAGGAGAGACUGUGGAUCACAAACAACAGCUUGUUGUGUCCUUAAUUCACUGUAAAAGCUUCUUUCUCUUACCCACUCAUAGACUGUUUUUGUGGAUUUGGGGAAUUGAUGUUUUUUAUACCUACCUCUUUAUAUGUCAUCUCAGUCUAAGGAUGUGUAAUACAUUAUUACCUCUCUUUAAAUUCAAGUGUGAAGUGGCACACUGUUUUAAUGAUAUGAAAUGCACAUAUUUGAAAAUCAACUCUUAAAAUAAACACUACUGUAGUGGCGAGGUUUAGGUCCUUAUCGAUUAAAAUGUAGUCUCUUACAUGGGACUUCCACCAGAUCCAUGUCUG
Long non-coding RNA from Notolabrus celidotus (New Zealand spotty), 1093 nucleotides. RefSeq lists it as uncharacterized. NCBI's taxonomy places the organism in Eukaryota, Metazoa, Chordata, Actinopteri, Labriformes, Labridae. The record is from RefSeq and is a predicted model, not a curated record. The transcript is spliced from 2 exons.